AAAAUUAGGUUGAAUGAACUAUUUUAUUUAAAAAUUAGCUCAUGCUUUCCAUGAAGGUCUACUUUUCCCUGUGAUCUUGCCCAAAUCCCUUAAUUUGUGUCACUUAGAAUAAAAUGACUGCUGAGCGUAAAGAAGAUUUGAAUUGUCUUCUGUAUUGCUAAAUAAUGGUUACCUGGGGAGAUACAAAAUUUAAAUUGGAAUUGUAUGAGCUAGAGCUGAUGAUAUAUUAGAUGUAUUAUAUCCAACCUGAGACCUCCAGUCAAGAGGGAAGGUCAUCUGUUAAAGAUGUUAAAAAGCGCUGCACCAGAAAAUGGAGCUGGAAUGAUUUGCAACAAUAGUCUGUGAUGUACUGAACCUGUACUGGACAAAUGCCCCGGAGAAGGGAGAGGAGUGUGAAUUACCUCAAAUUCUUCUCCAAGUAUUCCCAAUGAGAACAAGAUAAUUGGAAGUAGAUGGAGACUCCCCUCUUGUCUCCUCCUUGCUGAAGUGAAGCCAGAUUUCUGAGGGAGAAAUGUACUUGUCCUCCCUUAUGGGAGAGCCUUCCCAUGGAACAAGAUGGAAUCUCUGAUGCUUGGUGUUUCCUGGGGCUGGGUUCGGUAUUGCUGAAGGUUGGGGUUAAUAGCAUUAGCAUGAGCCAUCCAUCAGUGAAAUGCUAAGAAACAGCAGUAUUGCUAUUUAACUUAACUCUGUUUUUCUAGCUGUUAAUUAUUCUCCUUUUAUGUCUUUUCAUGUUUAAGCUGUGUAAUUGUGCAUAACAAAAUGUUUGUUAUUACCUGCUGUGAUUUUGAAUAAUUCGUGGUAUUAACAUGCAAUUUGGGACCAUCAUAUAUUCUCUUUGGAGCAGAAUGAACGUUCCUUUACUGUUUUUGUGUCUUUGAAGGUGUGUGGUAAUCAGGGUUUGGCUCACACAGUCUUUUCUCAACAAGUCAAUUUUGAAUCCACUGAACAAAAGGCAGAAUGAAGACACAGUAGAUAUGUGUGGCAUAUUAUUAAGAAAUAGCUUGUUGAGGUACAUGGUAACCUGAGCAAAGCAGCCCAGGACCUCUGCAAACAGCAGUGUCUUGUACUUCCAGUUAAUUUCUUCUGCAGAUGUAGUCAGUGACACCAGUGUGUUUAUCCCACACCAGUGUUACUGCUCCUACAAAUUUCAUUUCAUUGUGUUCUUAAUGGAUGGGUUAACCAUAUCUAAAAAUAAAAAAGUAUUUUUCCC
RNAcentral lists this long non-coding RNA (1210 nucleotides) under Gallus gallus (chicken). Its description in RNAcentral is "lncRNA (ENSGALG00010011832.1)". Lineage: Eukaryota; Metazoa; Chordata; Aves; Galliformes; Phasianidae. The record is from RNAcentral.